GGGCGGUUAGCUCAGUGGUAGAGCGCCUGCCUUACAAGCAGGAUGUCAUAAGUUCGACCCUUAUACCGCCCA
Transfer RNA from Cyanothece sp., 72 nucleotides. It matches the Rfam family "tRNA". From Rfam's summary of the family: Transfer RNA (tRNA) molecules are approximately 80 nucleotides in length. Their secondary structure includes four short double-helical elements and three loops (D, anti-codon, and T loops). The record is from Rfam. NCBI's taxonomy places the organism in Bacteria, Bacillati, Cyanobacteriota, Cyanophyceae, Gomontiellales, Cyanothecaceae.